Ictalurus punctatus (channel catfish) is the source of this 3292-nucleotide long non-coding RNA. The record is from Ensembl. NCBI's taxonomy places the organism in Eukaryota, Metazoa, Chordata, Actinopteri, Siluriformes, Ictaluridae.
UCUGUUCAUGCGUUGUUUGCGGACCACAACCACAAUGUGACGAUGAGGGCGAUAAGAGGAUCACUCCAAUAAUGGCUCCGAUAAUGCUGCCUGUAGCAGACCCCUUCUCUUACCACUGGUGUCUCUGUGAAGGAGAGAGAGAGAGAGAGAGAGAGAGAGAGAGAGAGAGAGAGAGAGAGAGAGAGAGAGAGAGUGCAUGUAAAUAGCGAAAUCGUUGCACUCGACAGUAAAGUGUUAGUCACAGUAUAAAUUAUUCAGUAUCUACAUCAAGGAUAAUAGGGAAUGUGUGAAGAAUGAGGAAUGUGAGUCUAAACCUGUUGACACAUCCUGUGCGCUUAACAACUCGGGCUUCUUUCUUUGAAAUGAUUGAAAAUCUGAAAUAACUUUCAUUUUAACAACUUUAUUUUGUUCAGCCAAUGGCCAAAGUCUUCAAAUAAAACCAUAGUGUAGAAAAAGUCUCACUCCUCCACUUCGCCCAAGUAGAACUGAUUAGGUGUGUUGGUGUUUAUGAGGCUAUGGAUGUCCUGAUUAACUAAAUCUAGGGUGGCCAUACAGUACGUCCUCUUUUCCAGACCUUAAAAAAAGCUAUUUUUGAGAAAAAAGUCCAGGAUUCGGUUUUAGUUUCAUUAUGAUGUGCUUACGGUCUGAUACUGCAUCACGUGUGCGCAUAUUUACAUUGCUAUAACCCCUCUCUGUAAUUCCCGCCUUCUCGCACACCAGUUGGUUGAUUAUAAAAGGCUUGCAGCAACUACUGGCCAAAGUCCUGCCUCUCAACCGUUAGCCUCCUCUUAGCGAACGCGCAAAGUUAAAGCGCUGUUGUAUACAGCGUCAAACAGUUGUUUGACAAUAGCAGCAAAUGACAGCUGCGCUGAGCCGAAACAAUGCCCCUGGCCAUAUAAUGUCAUUUUUCAUUUCAUGUUAUCGCAAUGCUUCAUAUUCCUUAGACGUUCAAAUGUGUGAAUGACGGCAGAAGUUACACUCAUGGCAUCGAGUAUUUCGUUUUAUUCCAUGGACAUUCAAAAGAAUGGAGCAAAAAAAAAAAAAGAGGGAUGUGGGAAGAAAUCAGUUUUAUUUAUAUACAUAUUUACAUGAUGCUGAUAGAGUGUCUUUUUCAGUGUAGUAAAGUUUGCAUUCAUAGUAACACUGUUUUGAAUGCUAUUUUGCCUUGCACCUCCGGGGUUGGGGGUUUGAUUCCCGCCUCCGCCCUGUGUGCACGGAGCCUGAAUAUUCUCCCCGUGCUUCAGGGUCCAAAGACAUGUGUUGUAGGCUGAUUGGAACUUCCAGAUUGACUGUAGUGUGUGAAUGGGUGUAUGCGAUUGUGCCCUGCAAUGGGUUGGUACCCCAUCCAGGGUGGCCCCCGCCUUGUGCCCCACGUUCCCUGGGAUAGUCUCCAUGUGUGGGAUAAGCGGUUCAGAAAGUGGAUGGAUGGGUGGAUGAGAAGAUGGAUGGGUGGAUGGAUGGAUGAGUAGAUGGAUGGAUGGGUGGAUGAGUAGAUGGAUGGGUGGAUGGAUGGAUGAGUAGAUGGAUGGGUGGAUGGAUGAGUAGAUGGAUGGAUGGAUGGAUGGGUGGGUGGAUGGAUGGAUGGAUGGGUGGGUGGAUGGAUCAGUAGGUGGACUGGUGGAUGGAUGAGUAUAUGGAUGGAUGGAUGAUGGAUGGAUGAGUAGAUGGAUGGGUGGAUGGAUGGGUGGAUGGGUGGAUGGAUGGGUGGGUGGAUGGAUGGAUGGAUGCAUGGAUGAGUAGAUGGGUGGGUGGAUGUGUGGAUGAGUAGAUGGAUGGAUGAGUAGAUGGAUGGAUCAGUAGAUGGAUGGAUGGUUGAGCAGAUGGAUGAAUGGAUGAGUAGAUGAAUGGAUGGACGGACAGAUGUACAGAUGGAUGGACGGACGGAUUACACUAUUACAUCAUAAGUAAUUAUAAGCCAGCUUUUUUGUGUUUAUAGAGUUGUAACUUAGCUCAAGCAGUUGAAUAUUCAAGAGUGCUUGGAAAUGAUGUCAUGACAGUCCUGGGUAAUGCUAAAACCCCUAUAUGUUUUGGGGGCAGAGCUGUGUAUACAGGAUUGGAGGAGGAGAAAGGGGGUGAUCUCUCACGGAGUAAAAAUUUCAAUCUUAACUGACCUCCACCUAUUUAACCCGUAAAGACCUAAUCUUGCCACUUUUUGACACAUCUCACUUAAUGCACCUUUAAAGUGUUGCGAGAUGGACCGGUGUAAUCACUUUGUAAUCCACAAGGUGGCGAUAUUCUGCUAGGGCCAUUUAGCAGAACUACACUGACCUGCACGGUGAUCUGAAGCAUUGUGUUCCUGGAUAAAUGCUUCCUCUGAUUUCUCAGUCUAGUUGAAAACUGAAUGAUUGAUUGAUUUUUUUUUGCAAAUGAUUUCUCACGUCCAGGAUUUGAAGUGUGUUUGAUGCUGCAGCUGAGGUCAUGUAAAGGACAGAGCACGGAUGAUGUGGAAACUAUGCACCGAUAGCGUUCUCUCUCCCUGCCACCUUCCUUCCAGUGAUUUUACUGUGCGCGCUCGUCAUUGCAUCAGCUGUGUUGCCUCAGACGUGUGUCGCCUCACUGCUAUAAGAGACGAAGAGGCAGGGAGAGCGAGAGUUACGACAGAUACGUGGCCGACCAGAAAUACCUGCUUACAAAGACAAACCGUGUGACACGACGGCGAAGUGAUGGAAGAGAAAGGGAACAAAAGAGAGGCCCGGAAAUCCGCCGGAUUUUCUGGCAGAAAAGAAAAGAGCCUAAGCAUAAUAGCAUGAAGUGGAACAGCUGACUGAAUUUCACCCCUUUUUCCUUUCACAUAACUGCCCAUGAGCUCUCUCUCACACACUCGCUCGCACACAACCCACACGGCUGUCACGUCUCGGCGCUGUCAAUCAGACAUCGGUCUACCGCGUAUCGUGUCUCGGCCUGUCAAUCUCCCAGAACCCCCCUUAGCAUUCCUCUCUCUCUAUCCCUGUGUCUCUCUCCUGAUGAGGAGAACCCACGUUGCCACACACACACACACACUCAGUCAAAGCAAACUGUACAAUACAACACACACACACACACACACACACAUCUGAGAGGUGUGCAAGUCUGUGUGUGAGAAAGAAUGCAAGGCAUGUAUGAAAAGUGAAGGUCACUGGAGAUAAAAGCUGGAAUGGGGAAUAUGUGUAUGUGUGUGUGUGUGUGUGUGUGAAGAAAAUGGCAGAAUGAAAAAGUGCCAGAAUUCAAUACAUCCCUACCAAAAUCUUCAUCAUCAAAACAGCAUCUUCAUACAUCCAGACUGGAGUAUGAGCGUAUGAGCGUACUAUUUAUA